AUCACUUCUCGGCCUUUUGGCUAAGAUCAAGUGUAGAAUCAGAUUGCCUACUUUUGAAUCCUAGCUUCUCAGUUUACUGCUAACCUGCAGUAUAAUCUUAGGGUUAUUACUUAAGCUAACUUCUUUAAGUUUAAGUAAUUUUUU
RNAcentral lists this small nuclear RNA (144 nucleotides) under Cervus hanglu yarkandensis (Yarkand deer). RNAcentral describes it as "U2 spliceosomal RNA (ENSCHYG00000004762.1)". It matches the Rfam family "U2 spliceosomal RNA". Rfam says of the family: U2 is a small nuclear RNA (snRNA) component of the spliceosome (involved in pre-mRNA splicing). Complementary binding between U2 snRNA (in an area lying towards the 5' end but 3' to hairpin I) and the branchpoint sequence (BPS) of the intron results the bulging out of an unpaired adenosine, on the BPS, which initiates a nucleophilic attack at the intronic 5' splice site, thus starting the first of two transesterification reactions that mediate splicing. The record is from RNAcentral. Lineage: Eukaryota; Metazoa; Chordata; Mammalia; Artiodactyla; Cervidae.